UCAUUUUUAUUUGUUCUGCCUGAGCGAGUCUGACCACACAUUUGAGACCACUAUGAUGACACAACAAAUGCGUUUGAUGGAUCGCAGGAAUAUGUUUUUGUAUGCUACAGUCCAAACUAUGUCUUCUGAUGGAGUGACUGACUACUGUCGGCAUUCAAAGGUUAUCCAACUUCAAUAAACGCUUGGAGGUGUCGCCCAUCUUCCCCGUUAUCCCCUGGGUAUUUAUACCUGUGUUUUCUGUCUGUCUGUUGUCUUGUUUGUUAAAGCCUACCAGUGUUUUUGUCUCAGCUCCUGUUGCCCCUAGUCUCUCUUUGUUAAAGCCUACCAGUGUUUUGUCUCAGCUCCUGUUGCCCCUAGUCUCUCUUUGUUAAAGCCUACCAGUGUUUUGUCUCAGCUCCUGUUGCCCCUAGUCUCUCUUUGUUAAAGCCUACCAGUGUUUUGUCUCAGUUCCUGUUGCCCCUAGUCUCUCUUUGUUAAAGCCUACCAGUGUUUUUGUCUCAGCUCCUGUUGCCCCUAGUCUCUCUUUGUUAAAGCCUACCAGUGUUUUUGUCUCAGCUCCUGUUGCCCCUAGUCUCUCUUUGUUAAAGCCUACCAGUGUUUUUGUCUCAGCUCCUGUUGCCCCUAGUCUCUCUUUGUUAAAGCCUACCAGUGUUUUGUCUCAGCUCCUGUUGCCCCUAGUCUCUCUUUGUUAAAGCCUACCAGUGUUUUGUCUCAGCUCCUGUUGCCCCUAGUCUCUCUUUGUUAAAGCCUACCAGUGUUUUUGUCUCAGCUCCUGUUGCCCCUAGUCUCUCUUUGUUAAAGCCUACCAGUGUUUUUGUCUCAGCUCCUGUUGCCCCUAGUCUCUCUUUGUUAAAGCCUACCAGUGUUUUUGUCUCAGCUCCUGUUGCCCCUAGUCUCUCUUUGUUAAAGCCUACCAGUGUUUUUGUCUCAGCUCCUGUUGCCCCUUUUCUCUCUUUGUUAAAGCCUACCAGUGUUUUGUCUCAGCUCCUGUUGCCCCUAGUCUCUCUUUGUUAAAGCCUACCAGUGUUUUUGUCUCAGCUCCUGUUGCCCCUAGUCUCUCUUUGUUAAAGCC
Molecule: long non-coding RNA, 1072 nt
Organism: Oncorhynchus keta (chum salmon)
Lineage: Eukaryota; Metazoa; Chordata; Actinopteri; Salmoniformes; Salmonidae
Exons: 3
Source: RefSeq, a predicted model, not a curated record